CAGACGAUCUCUGGAGCCAGCAGCUCCGCGGACACGUCGGUUGGUUUCUCUGCCUGGAAACACCGAAAACUAAACGGAACCAGCGGCCGACAGAGACGGACGGCUCUCACCGGAGACAGAGGGGGUCGACUAGUGCUUUUCUUCAGCUUUCACUUGCACUGGUGACGUUGAUGAUGGGUGGACAGCAGAGCCAUGAGCAGAAGGAGAGAGAAGAGGAGACUGAAAAACAAGAAUCUGACAAGACUGAGGACUCAGGAUCAGAACCUGCUGCACCUGAGGACGCCCCAGGAGAGCUGCCCCAGUGCCAGAUGGGAAACAGGAAGGUGGACAACAUGUGCUUCAUGAUCUCGUGCACAAACUGGUACUGAACUGAACUGAGAUGAAGAAUAAAGAAGACACUGAGGGGAGUUCUCGGACGGAUGCUGCAUUCAUGAACUCACCUAGAAAAGAAUCCAAAAGAUGGAAAAGCCUGAGGUGCCUGGAUCUGGUUUGGAAAAUUCUGGAGUGUUGAUGAAUGUUUUGAAGAUGACUGAGGACUUAUUAAAUAAAAAAAUCCAACUGAUAAAUUAUGUAUAAUAAAUGGAUAUAAAUAUAAGCUACAAACAGACUGCUGUUGAAAAUUCCUCAUUCAGAGAAUCCUGUCUUUGAGGUGGGGAGCACAGAGAUCAAAUAAAUAUUGGGUCUCAGAUAUGGAGGGAAUUUUUUUUUUCAAAAUUUGAGACUUAUACACAAAAACUUUAGCUUUAAAACAAAGACACGGACAAGUAUUCUCUUUACAAAGUGUGAAGUUUAUAUUCAGAGUAUGGAAGCCCAUUCUUGUUCCCUUAGACUGAUCAUCUAUGAGUUUUUUUAUUCAUUCAAAAGAAAUCAUGUUGAUUCAGGGUAACAACUUGAAACUAAAAACACAUGAUAAGCAGACUCUGUUAAUUAAAUCAGAUCUUAUAACUCCUCUCCUGUUCCACUUCUCUUUGAACACUUCAACUUUCAUCUUUAUUUCCUCUCUCUGAGCAGGAAAAAACAGAUUUCAAUGCUUCACAUGCCUUCUUUGAAAGACAUGAAGUGUUUUCCUUCCUCAAAACAAAAGUAUUUACACAAAAACUACUUUGAAAUUGUGUGCCUGAAGCAAACAGGUUAAAGUAGAUGCCAUUAGAGUUUCUUUAAGAUCAUUUAUUGAAAAAUAAGUGUUUUGUAAUCGCUAAACUCAAAAAUGUGAAAAAGAAAUAGAAACAGCUUGAUGCUUAAACAUUAUUAAAGUGACUCAAAUGUA
Molecule: long non-coding RNA, 1267 nt
Organism: Cheilinus undulatus (humphead wrasse)
Lineage: Eukaryota; Metazoa; Chordata; Actinopteri; Labriformes; Labridae
Exons: 3
Source: RefSeq, a predicted model, not a curated record